GAUGACGCUGGCGGCAGGCCUAACACAUGCAAGUCGAGCGGAUGAUUGGAGCUUGCUCCUGAUUCAGCGGCGGACGGGUGAGUAAUGCCUAGGAAUCUGCCUGGUAGUGGGGGACAACGUUUCGAAAGGAACGCUAAUACCGCAUACGUCCUACGGGAGAAAGUGGGGGAUCUUCGGACCUCACGCUAUCAGAUGAGCCUAGGUCGGAUUAGCUAGUUGGUGAGGUAAAGGCUCACCAAGGCGACGAUCCGUAACUGGUCUGAGAGGAUGAUCAGUCACACUGGAACUGAGACACGGUCCAGACUCCUACGGGAGGCAGCAGUGGGGAAUAUUGGACAAUGGGCGAAAGCCUGAUCCAGCCAUGCCGCGUGUGUGAAGAAGGUCUUCGGAUUGUAAUGCACUUUAAGUUGGGAGGAAGGGCAGUAAGUUAAUACCUUGCUGUUUUGACGUUACCGACAGAAUAAGCACCGGCUAACUUCGUGCCAGCAGCCGCGGUAAUACGAAGGGUGCAAGCGUUAAUCGGAAUUACUGGGCGUAAAGCGCGCGUAGGUGGUUCGUUAAGUUGGAUGUGAAAGCCCCGGGCUCAACCUGGGAACUGCAUCCAAAACUGGCGAGCUAGAGUAUGGCAGAGGGUGGUGGAAUUUCCUGUGUAGCGGUGAAAUGCGUAGAUAUAGGAAGGAACACCAGGGCGAAGGCGACCACCUGGGCUAAUACUGACACUGAGGUGCGAAAGCGUGGGAGCAACA
RNAcentral lists this ribosomal RNA (746 nucleotides) under Pseudomonas sp. NBF23. RNAcentral's name for it is "bacterial SSU rRNA". It matches the Rfam family "Bacterial small subunit ribosomal RNA", at positions 27 to 773 of the family's 1533-position model. The record is from RNAcentral. Lineage: Bacteria; Pseudomonadati; Pseudomonadota; Gammaproteobacteria; Pseudomonadales; Pseudomonadaceae.